CCUACGGGGGGCUGCAGUGGGGAAUAUUGGACAAUGGGCGAAAGCCUGAUCCAGCAAUGCCGCGUGUGUGAAGAAGGCCUUCGGGUUGUAAAGCACUUUUAUCAGGAACGAAAUCUGCACGGCUAAUACCCGUGUAGUCUGACGGUACCUGAGGAAUAAGCACCGGCUAACUCCGUGCCAGCAGCCGCGGUAAUACGGAGGGUACAAGCGUUAAUCGGAAUUACUGGGGGUGAUGCGUUAAGAGGCGGUUGAAAUCCCCGAGCUCAACUUGGGAAUUGCAAUGGAUACUGGCAAGCUGGAGUAUGGUAGAGGAAGGUGGAAUUCCCGGUGUAGCAGUGAAAUGCGUAGAGAUCGGGAGGAACACCAGUGGCGAAGGCGGCCUUCUGGACCAAUACUGACGCUCAUGCACGAAAGCGUGGGGAGCAAACAGGAUUAGAUACCCCAGUAGUC
Molecule: ribosomal RNA, 450 nt
Filed under: uncultured bacterium
Lineage: Bacteria
Description: partial 16S ribosomal RNA
Rfam family: Bacterial small subunit ribosomal RNA
Source: RNAcentral